AUUGAACGCUGGCGGCAUGCCUUACACAUGCAAGUCGAACGGUAACAGGUCUUUCGGGAUGCUGACGAGUGGCGAACGGGUGAGUAAUACAUCGGAACGUGCCUAGUAGUGGGGGAUAACUACUCGAAAGAGUGGCUAAUACCGCAUGAGAUCUAUGGAUGAAAGCAGGGGACCUUUGGGCCUUGUGCUACUAGAGCGGCCGAUGGCAGAUUAGGUAGUUGGUGGGAUAAAAGCUUACCAAGCCUACGAUCUGUAGCUGGUCUGAGAGGACGAUCAGCCACACUGGGACUGAGACACGGCACAGACUCCUACGGGAGGCAGCAGUGGGGAAUUUUGGACAAUGGGCGCAAGCCUGAUCCAGCAAUGCCGCGUGCAGGAUGAAGGACUUCGGGUUGUAAACUGCUUUUGUACGGAACGAAAAGUCUUGGGUUAAUACCCUGGGAUCAUGACGGUACCGUAAGAAUAAGCACCGGCUAACUACGUG
This 484-nucleotide ribosomal RNA is filed under the name uncultured bacterium. RNAcentral's name for it is "partial 16S ribosomal RNA". It matches the Rfam family "Bacterial small subunit ribosomal RNA", at positions 30 to 507 of the family's 1533-position model. The record is from RNAcentral.